Molecule: long non-coding RNA, 5140 nt
Organism: Lynx canadensis (Canada lynx)
Lineage: Eukaryota; Metazoa; Chordata; Mammalia; Carnivora; Felidae
Exons: 2
Source: RefSeq, a predicted model, not a curated record
GCUCAGAGAGUAGAGAAUGAAUAGACUUUUUAAGUAAUAAUUUUGAUAAACAGAAAAAUCUUGUACAAAAAACUGUAUACCCUUUUCCCAUCACUAAUUAUACUUUGUUUCAUUUACAAAAAUUUUUUUCCUGAAUCAUAUGAAAAUAAAUUAGAGACAUCUUGCUGUUUUUUCCUUAAAAACUAAUUCCUAGGAAUGGGACAUUCUCUGUUAAACUACAGUGCCUACCAAAAAUAACAUCAAUAAAGUACUGUUGUCUAAUCCAUGCUCCAUAGAUCUGUCUCAGUUGACCACUAAUAAUUCUUUGUCUUUUUUUUCUAUUGGUUCAGGAUCAUUUGCCACGUUUUGUUGUCAUGGCUUUUCGGUCUCCUUUAAUCUGGACCACGUCCUCAGCCUUUUUCUUGGCCUUGUCAUUUUUGAAAAGUAGAGGACAGUUAUUUGUAGAAUUGCCCUCAAUUUGGGUUUGUCUGCUGUCUCCUCAUUACAUUUUUAGCAGGAAUAUCACAAGAAUGAGAUUAUCUUCAGCUCAUCAUGUCCAGUCAUCUUAUAAUAACCUGUAAGGCAGUACUUCCUGUGAAUAGACUGUCUUAUAAAUAAAGUUAAGAAAAGGGGUUUUUGUUUUUAGGAAGAGAAGGAGCUAAUAUUCAAGUUUAAGAGCUGCUGAAGGGAGAGCUUGGAUAGCAUCAGAGAGUACACCAUUACCACUGAAAGCUGGAGUGUGGUUCUCCUAGCCCAGGGCCAAAAAGGGAGCAGGAGGCUACUUUAAAUAGAGGAGAGAUUAAUAGAUUCCAUAGAAAAUAAGCCAUGUUCUCUUGUGUAAAACCAUGCCCUCUAGUAUUGUUGUGGGGGUAAAUGCUGUUAUCAAAGCAUUGGCACAGUCACUCCAUGGACUAAAAUACUCUGUAGUCAAACUCUAAUACUUUCUUUCCUAGCCAGUUGAGGAAAAGGUAGGCAAAGCACAGUUGCUGAUUAUGGUGCCCAAGUAUCUGAUUAAGUGACCACUGCUCCUUUUUAGCUAUUCAUGAACAGCCUUGAGUAUACUAUUUAAAUAUAUUGCUGUUACUUUGAUUUUAUGAGCUUGCAAGCACCAGAGAAUAGUGCUUUAGAGAAUAGUAUGGUGAACCAACUCCUGAAUACUUAAUUCAGCUUUAACAAUGUAUGUCUGUCCAUUUCCUGUCCAGAUAAUUUUGAAGGAAAUCCUAGAUACUCCAGCUGAAGACCGUUCACUAUAUACGACUAAAAGACCUAAAUCUCUUUGUUCUCUUGUCCCUUGCAGUAUAUUUUUUGAAGGCCACUAUUGAGUAGUUUUUCAGUCUUGAUUUUGCUGAUUGCAUGCUAAUGAUAUUUAGCAUGUUCUAGACUAGAUCUAAGAACAAUACGAUGGUUCUCAAAGUGUGCCUGGCCCAGUAACAUCAGCAUCAUAUGGGAAUUUGUUAAAAACAGAGUUUCUCAAGCCCCACCCUAGAAUCAGAAACUAAGUGGAGUCCAGCCAUAGGUGUUACAAUAAGCCUUCCAAGUGAUUCUGGUGCUUAUUCAAACUUGAGACCCAUUAUUUUAGAGGUUUUAUCAGAUUCUGUUUUGUUUUCCUUCCCAAAACUACUUGGGUAUCUUUUUGUCAUUGGCAGCCAUUGAUGAUCUUUUCCUGAAUCUAUUAUUAAACCCACAAACCGUGAUUUUACACACCUUUUUUUUUUUUUUUUUUUUUUUUAAAUCCAUUGGAGUUCUCCUUAUUGAUGUUGCCUUGUUCUGUCUUUGGUUCAUGAAAGUCAACUCAGGUUGCCUCAUGAGUUCAUUUGAAGCAACCCUAAUAAUCUUUAUCAGUUUCUUUUCUUUCUAAUAUGGUGAGAUUUCCAGGCUCCUCUCUCUAAUCUCAGAUCUGGAGGCAGCCAUUUCUCCAGUGAGCUCUGGUUAUCUUUAUUUGGAAAUGGUAUUUUGUGAGUAUAGUCUGGACUUUUGGGUGUUCAUUGCUACUAGUUGGAUCUUUCUCAGGCCCCACAGAUCAUAGUACUGUCUGCUCUUGGGAAGGUCUUCUGCAGGCUAAACAUCCACUCAGCCCUUUUCAGUUCAUCAGUUUUGAAUUUGGUUUGUCAGUAUCCUUAGAGAAUGGGGCCCACUAGUAGCAACAGCACUCAAGGUUUGCUUUAACCUCCUCAGAGCAAAGCAAGUAGUAUGUGGACUCCCUGCCUUAAUAGAUGUUCAGCUGAAUUCUGGGCCAGUUCUGGCAAAGGAGUGAGGAAACUUUAGUAUUCCUGCAGAAUCUCUUCACCUUCAGAGAAGGGUUUAAAGUAAAUAAUGUGUCCUCUUGUUCUGGGUGAUAGGAGUAGAGGGAGAAGGAAAUUCAGAGCCUAAAUUUCAGUGUGAUUGUAGCAUACACAGCAGCAUUAUAAUUGGGAUGCACAAAUAAGAUCUUAAAUUACAGCUUGUAUCCACCUUUGCUAUAGAUGACAUUCCCUUGCGGACCCAGCAGGAACUCAAGCCUGGAUAGCUGUGGCUGUGAUUAUAGUAAGAUGAUCAGUAUGAUACCUGAGUCAUAAUAGUCUAAACUCACAUUCAGUAAAUACUUCUUAAAGGCCUUGCCAGAUUCUUUUAUAGGUGUGUGUGAGUGUGUAUAUAUGUGUGUGUGUGUGUGUAUAUAAUACAUAUAUAAUAUGUAUAAUAAUAUAUAUAUACACACACACAUAUAUCCCCAUCCUCCCUUAAUGAGCAGAGUACCUCCUGUCCUUUGAUUUUGACCAGUGGAAUUUUGGUAGGCAUGACAUGUUUAGUAGACUAGAUACUGCCCUCCCCUUCCCCAAAGAUGCCUGUCUUCUAACCCUGUAACUUGUGAAUAUGUUACCUAACGUGGUACAAGGAACUUUGUAGGUGUGACUAAAUUAAGGUCUGGAAAUGGGAAGCUUAUCCUGGAUUAUCCAAGCGGGCUCAGUGUAAUCACAAUAGGCUGGAAGGUAAAAGGACCAGAAAAAGCUGAUGCGAAAACAAGCAAAAUCAGACACCAGAAGAUGCUACGCUGUGGCUUUGAAAACAGAAGGAACCUCAAGACAAGAAAACAGUUCUCUAAAGCCUCUGGAGGGAGCACAGCCCUGCCCACAGCUUAACCUUGUGAAGGUCCUCUCCAGGCUAAACAUCCCCUCAAUCCAUUUGGACUAAUGAAACCCAUUUUGGACUUCAGAGCUCCACAACUGCAAGGUAAUAGAUUUUUGUUUUAAUAAGUCACCAAAUUUAUGGUAAUUAGUUACUGUAGCUACAGGAAACAUACAACAUGACUAAAGGCUUAAAUGCUUACACAAAUGGACUUGGUCUUUUGCAUCUCUACCAUCACUAUGAGAAUAAUAUUCCUCUGUCAGCCUGCUGGUCGUAGGAUAUGAGACAGGUGUCGGGGGUAAGGGAAGGUGCCUGUUAGCCUCAAGCCUACAGCUUGAGACUGCCCAGCCUAAAUCCACCAACCUGUGUACGAAGAAGAAAAACUUAGGGGGUUAGUAAUUUCAUUUUGCCUAAACAAAUAGACACUUUCCAUUUGGCCCUCCCACACCACCACGCCUCCAUUCUCUGUUCUGAGCCCCAGGAAGUUAAUCUCUAUUGGCUCCGUCCACAUACUCUUUUGCCCUCUGAUUUCUGAUUAGGUUCAGCCAUUAGGGAAAAGCAGUAGGAAAGGAGAGCGAAAAGAUUGAGAUAGAAACACCUAUUUCCACAGCCUCCUCUCUGUAAGGUUCAGGCUGGUGGUGGUCUUCAUCUGAAGGGCAUAGUGUGCUACAUAUGGCCCUCUUGUUCCGAGUCCUGGUAACCACAGUCUCCCCUUUCUUUCCUAGCCCCAAUGGUUUUACUCUAACAAUUGUGAUUUUCCAACAACCUGCCCAUCCCUUUAAAAAUAGACCCUUUGUUAAAUUCUCUUCAGAUUUACUCAUUUGGAGUGUGUGCCAUGUUUCUUAACAACAGAUAACAAAUAUUUUGUAUUUCAAUAAAGUAUAAAACCUUACACUAACUUGAUGAUGUUGCUAAAUAAAGCAAAGUUGAAAGGUUGACUUUUUUCAUUUCCUGUCCAAAGCCAGGGAGAGUUUCUUGAGUUAAUAAGUACACCAAGGAACUUUAUUUUUGCCUCUCAGUAGAUAAGCUUUUCUAAGGGAGAUGCCCACCUACUCUGCCACCCCCAUACCUGGCCAACACUGUCCAAGUAGCUGGUUUGUACCAGAAAGCCAAUGUGUGUUCCUUGAGUGGAAGAAGGGAGAUUGGAAGUACCUGCUCCUGGUAUCACCUGGACUUAAGAUCCCAUCUCCUGCCAUGAAGUGUGUGAUGAAACCCCGGUCCUUAGCAGCUGGUCCCUGUCUAUCCAAUAACAGCCUCCAGGACAAGAAGGACACCAGGCCACCCCUUCCUUAUUGCUCUGUUUCCCUCUUGUUUCUGACUCCUGUUCGUUCCCCUUAUUGCAAAUUCAACCAUGAAUUCACUCUUCUUCCUCUUUUGCUGGUUUCCUUUUUUUCUUGUAAUAUUUUACCUAGGAUUUUGGCAUGUUUAUGCUAGAAAGGACUUCCUGUUAGUAAAAUCUUCUGUCAGAACCAGAGAUGUUUGCACACUUACAUAAAGGGCAUGUUUUGAUGAUUUUCCUAAAACAGUGACUGCACCAAGAGUGAACUAAAUUUUGUAGGAACAGAAAGUUGUUGGCUGCUCACAACAGUUUUCUCUGUGCUUCUGCUAUCAACAUCUCAAUCAAAUUUGGGUCCACUGGGGUGGAAGGUUAACUUGGAGAAGACCUUGGGGCUAUUGACAUAUAGAAGGGGGGCGUCACAUGAGGGAAAGAUUGGACUAGCUCACUUGCUUUUGAGGGCAUUCUGGUGCAGCACAACAAACGCUGGCUCUGUGAGAGAACCUUCCCCAAAUCACAUCAACUUGGGAGGAGCUCUGCAUCCCCGAAGGUGUUCAAGCAAGCAAGACCACCAAAAGUAUCUGGACCAACCAAAUACUGGUAAUGGGCAGAAUAAUGUCUUAGCAACUCCUGUUCGUUCCUGCAUCCUGCUGCCUCAGAUUCCACUUGUCUGUCUGAAUCACUGUCUGAAAGAUGCAUUUGUAAUUGAGAAGCCAUGUGUUUGUGUAGUUCCAUCACUUUCUUGUAAUCUGAAUACCUAAAAUAAACCUUUUGGAAAAUCUA